RNAcentral lists this ribosomal RNA (439 nucleotides) under uncultured bacterium. RNAcentral describes it as "partial 16S ribosomal RNA". It matches the Rfam family "Bacterial small subunit ribosomal RNA", at positions 339 to 795 of the family's 1533-position model. The record is from RNAcentral.
CUACGGGUUGCUGCAGUGGGGAAUAUUGCACAAUGGAGGAAACUCUGAUGCAGCAACGCCGCGUGGAGGAUGACACUUUUCGGAGCGUAAACUCCUUUUAUAUAGGAAGAAGAUGACGGUACUAUAUGAAUAAGCGCCGGCUAACUCCGUGCCAGCAGCCGCGGUAGUACGGAGGGCGCAAGCGUUACUCGGAAUCACUGGGCGUAAAGAGCGUGUAGGCGGAUUAAAAAGUCAGAAGUGAAAUCCUAUAGCUUAACUAUAGAACUGCUUCUGAAACUCUUAAUCUAGAAUGUGGGAGAGGUAGAUUGAAUGUCUGGUGUAGGGGUAAAAUCCGUAGAGAUCAGAAGGAAUACCGAUUGCGAAGGCGAUCUACUAGAACAUUAUUGACGCUGAGACGCGAAAGCGUGGGGAGCAAACAGGAUUAGAUACCCCGGUAGUC